This is a non-coding RNA of Harmonia axyridis, 74 nucleotides long. The record is from the annotation of a RefSeq genome assembly. Lineage: Eukaryota; Metazoa; Arthropoda; Insecta; Coleoptera; Coccinellidae.
UCCUCGGUGGCUCGAUUGGUGAGAGCGUCGGACUAAUAAUUCGGAGGUUGCGGGUUCGAGUCCCGCUCGAGGAG